Long non-coding RNA from Cebus imitator (Panamanian white-faced capuchin), 2560 nucleotides. RefSeq lists it as uncharacterized. The transcript has 4 exons. The record is from RefSeq and is a predicted model, not a curated record. NCBI's taxonomy places the organism in Eukaryota, Metazoa, Chordata, Mammalia, Primates, Cebidae.
UGUGUUCUCGGCUGGAUUUUCCCUUUGACAGGUGAGCUUCCGUGCUUGGUCUCGGCUGCUCUUUCUCCUGUGUUCCACAGCCUCCUUUGCCAUACGACCUGCAUGUACUCGAAGGUCCGUAGAGAGGAUACCGGGGCGCUCCUGAAGCCGAGAGUUGGAUGAGUCUUCCGUGAUACUGAAGUGAGAGUCAUAUGUUGAUGCCCAGGAGGCAGCUGUCUCCUUGGUCCGAGAAGCCUGAUCGAGGCCAGGCUUGUCUAUAAGAGCUGGGAAAUGGGAGGACCUUUGAAGCCAUGGGAGGGGGUGAGAGCCACCAUCACUCAUGUUCUUGAAUGGGAACUGCCUGGAGAGCCUGAAGGAGGAAGGAGGAGGCUGAGCUGCCCCGGGAGCAUGGGCUGGAUGAGGCCAAGCCAGGAGAUGCCACCACCAAAUAGGAAGUCACCAUUCAGGAUUCGGGCUUUUCUGUGGAGAUCCUGGCCCCGGGAUCAAGCCCUUCUCCCUGUGGCCCCAGAACUGGAACGAGGAGCUGCAGAUAGUGAGGAAUGUGCCCAACAAGAACCAACCUGAGCAGCUGCUACAAGAAAGAGCCAUGUUCAAGGGGCCCAAAGCCCCUGGUGAGUGAGUGACAGCAGCACAGCCUCAGGCCCACCUGCCUCCUGCUGGAAGGUUUUCUUGUGCACAGGAGGGAAGCGAGGGAAGCUGGCACAGUCCCAGCCCUGUCAGGUGCCCUGAAGUCCUUCUAGCCUUCUGCUUCCUGGUAGACCAUCCCAGCACCUUUCUCUGGCCUCUUUGAGACUUUGGGUCCCUGGGAGGAGAAGGCUCCACCUGCUAUCUGGGCUGAGCGGCCAGAGCCAUCCAGCUUCCCACCCUCCACUGAGUGCCAUGGGGCCAUUCCCUGAGCACACAGUGCCCAGCAUGGCCCUUCUAGGGCAGGGGCUCAUUGACGUAGCACUUUCAGCUCGUUGGGGUUUAAAUGUCAUUAAUGCUGUUUCUGAGAGAAAUGAGGACAAAAUAAUUGUUUAAAAAAAGUCUCUCCUGAACUUCCUGCCUAGAGGUGAUAAUGGAAGAAGUAAUUUCUUGGGUACUAACUUUACCAGGAUGAUUCCAAGUGCUUUAUAAGCAUCAUUUCCUAUAAUCUUCUGGUCCCCUUGUAAAUAUCAGUACUUUUUGUCAUUGUUGUGUAGAUGAGAAACAGUCUGAAGUUACCUGCCCAGGUUUGCCAGGCACAUGACUUGUGGAUCCCAAACCUGCCCCAGCUCUCGCACUCCUUGUUAGCCACUAAGCUCUGCACCUCCUUAAGUGUUUAGUUUUUUCAAAAAAUGGCUUUCUUGCCCUUCUCUAAAUAUAAGGAAACUGAGGCAAGAGUCCCUGGCUCCCAAGGCAGGCCUGGCUGCCUCCCCCAUCUUGGUGAGCUGGGCCAGGUAGAUGUAGCCUGAGGCUUUUGUGGGUGUGGCCUCUCACCCUCCCAGUAUCGGCCCCUCCCAGGCGCACAGCAAGUUCAGGGUGGCAGCCACAUGGGGCGCCAUGGUAGUCAGGGGCAUCGUCAUGGCCAUCAGCCCCAGUGAGGAGACCAAGCUGCAGAUGUUCAUCUGGAGCCACAUUGUCUUCAGCCUGGGCUUUGUUGUUAGUGGCCACUACAAGGACUUUGCUGGGGACGUGGCGGCCUCCACAGCAUUCACCAGUGACCUGAAUGGUGAGCAGUUGUGCAGUGCAGCGGACCUGGAGGUUCUGUACAUGCUGGACACGGUGAAGAUGGAUGACUGCAGCUACUGGGUCAGGUUCCAGUCCUCAUCCCUGGCAACCUGGAGUGGGACCAGGAGCAGAGUGUCAUCUGUAGCUUCACUGGCCUUGCAAAAACAGUGGUGUGGCCCCCGUGGUGCCUGGGGCUGCUGGAGCACGAGUUAACUGCUCAAGACUUUGUGACACUGUGUGCUCAACCACUGCGAUGAGGAGGUGGAGCUCUUCUCGGUGAGGGCAAGGGCAUCACUGGCAAUGACAGGUGCCACUGCGUUCUCUACCUGCUGAGCCCCUUUCCCCUGACCUUAGCUUCCUUACUGUACCCCCCAAGGAGCUGCCAGAGGGGUGCUCCCAUGCCACCUUCUCCUGCACCUACAGGCACAGCUUCUGUUGCUUGCGCCAGGAGCUCGUGGAUGCCUUCGUGGAGCACAGGUGAGGAGCAGCCCUGUGAGGUUGGAGCUGCAGCCGCCGCACCCUGUUGGGGGCAUGGGCACCCUGGGUUGUUCUGGGGCUGGAUCGUUGAGGAGAGAAGCUCUGCACAGUGAAGCAGGGCUCCUUCUGGCCACACUAACUAGAGCCCCUUCCCCAUCUCCCACCCACCCUGCCAUCAGGCUCCCAGAUGCAGAUUGGGAGCUUUGUGUCGGUUGCAAGCUAGCGAGCAGUCAAACCAAUGGCCCAGCUGAGUUGUGCUGUUCUCCUUAGGAGCGUUUGGAAGUCGCUGGGUGGCUGUGAAGGUCACAGUCCCCAAGCAUUGCUGCUGCUGGUGUUUUGUGCUUAGGAGUUGACCAUGUUAAAUGUCCUACACACAAGUAACUCUUUUUCAGAA